Long non-coding RNA from Entelurus aequoreus (snake pipefish), 440 nucleotides. RefSeq lists it as uncharacterized. The transcript has 3 exons. The record is from RefSeq and is a predicted model, not a curated record. Lineage: Eukaryota; Metazoa; Chordata; Actinopteri; Syngnathiformes; Syngnathidae.
UCAGUGCAACCCGUCCAAGAACAGACGUGCAGUAUACUGGCUGGACAGAACUGGAAGACUGAUGGAUCGCCAACCCAACGGCACCCUGUAAAGAGGCGCGGCGGCGAGGUGUCCCCAUACUUUUGAGCGUGAACAAGAGCUGCACAGAUGCCGGCCGCCCACACACGCAGCACAGAGGACGGUGGGUGGGGGUGGUGGUGCUGCUGCUCAUCCAUCUGGGCCGCAGACUGCCGGUGUCAGGAGGAAUCACCAGAGGAGAGGCGGAUCAUCAGAAAAACAAAAAGAAAAGAACGCAGUGUCUGUCACACGGCAGUAAAACGGCUGAUCAAACAAAACAGAAGCCAUGGUCAUGGCUGCGCAAGCUAGCUCUCCAAUCAGCUAAACAGACUCAAUAACUCCACGCUGACGUGUUGGUGAAUUCACGGAACUGGAACGAUAGC